GAGUUUGAUCCUGGCUCAGGACGAACGCUGGCGGCGUGCCUAAUACAUGCAAGUGGAACGCAUGAUUGAUACCGGAGCUUGCUCCACCAUUAAUCAUGAGUCGCGAACGGGUGAGUAACGCGUAGGUAACCUACCUCAUAGCGGGGGAUAACUAUUGGAAACGAUAGCUAAUACCGCAUAACAGUCUUUAACCCAUGUUAGAGAUUUGAAAGGGGCAAGAGCUUCACUAUGAGAUGGACCUGCGUUGUAUUAGCUAGUUGGUGAGGUAAAGGCUCACCAAGGCGACGAUACAUAGCCGACCUGAGAGGGUGAUCGGCCACACUGGGACUGAGACACGGCCCAGACUCCUACGGGAGGCAGCAGUAGGGAAUCCUCGGCAAUGGGGGGAACCCUGACCGAGCAACGCCGCGUGAGUGAAGAAGGUUUUCGGAUCGUAAAGCUCUGUUGUUAGAGAAGAACGUGUGUGAGAGUGGAAAGUUCACACAGUGACGGUAACUAACCAGAAAGGGACGGCUAACUACGUGCCAGCAGCCGCGGUAAUACGUAGGUCCCGAGCGUUGUCCGGAUUUAUUGGGCGUAAAGCGAGCGCAGGCGGUUCUGUAAGUCUGAAGUUAAAGGCAGUGGCUUAACCAUUGUACGCUUUGGAAACUGCAGGACUUGAGUGCAGAAGGGGAGAGUGGAAUUCCAGGUGUAGCGGUGAAAUGCGUAGA
Molecule: ribosomal RNA, 710 nt
Filed under: uncultured bacterium
Lineage: Bacteria
Description: bacterial SSU rRNA
Rfam family: Bacterial small subunit ribosomal RNA
Source: RNAcentral